GACGAACGCUGGCGGCGUGCUUAACACAUGCAAGUCGAACGGAAAGGCCCUGCUUGCAGGGUACUCGAGUGGCGAACGGGUGAGUAACACGUGGGUGAUCUGCCCUGCACUUCGGGAUAAGCCUGGGAAACUGGGUCUAAUACCGGAUAGGAGCCAUUUUUAGUGUGAUGGUUGGAAAGUUUUUUCGGUGUAGGAUGAGCUCGCGGCCUAUCAGCUUGUUGGUGGGGUAAUGGCCUACCAAGGCGGCGACGGGUAGCCGGCCUGAGAGGGUGGACGGCCACAUUGGGACUGAGAUACGGCCCAGACUCCUACGGGAGGCAGCAGUGGGGAAUACUGCACAAUGGGCGCAAGCCUGAUGCAGCGACGCCGCGUGGGGGAUGACGGCCUUCGGGUUGUAAACUCCUUUCGCUAGGGACGAAGCUUUUUGUGACGGUACCUAGAUAAGAAGCACCGGCUAACUACGUG
This 465-nucleotide ribosomal RNA is filed under the name uncultured bacterium. Its description in RNAcentral is "partial 16S ribosomal RNA". It matches the Rfam family "Bacterial small subunit ribosomal RNA", at positions 28 to 507 of the family's 1533-position model. The record is from RNAcentral.